This 70-nucleotide transfer RNA is filed under the name Phrynocephalus axillaris (toad-headed agama). RNAcentral's name for it is "tRNA-Phe". Lineage: Eukaryota; Metazoa; Chordata; Lepidosauria; Squamata; Agamidae. The record is from RNAcentral.
GUAUUACGUAGCUUAAGUAACAAAGCAUAGUGCUGAAGCCACUAAAAUGAGCCUUAACGCUCCAAAUACG